UGGGGAUCAAACUCACAGAAGAGGAACAGAAAGAUCUCCUGGAACACCUUCCAGUUGGUGCCAGUGGGAAAGUGAAUAAGAAGAAUGUAAUGAAUGCUGUGCAGAAUCUUGGUGGAGGGAAUGUUGAUGUUAGCAAACUGGACAAGGUUCUGGGAAACCUG
Long non-coding RNA from Gracilinanus agilis (Agile Gracile Mouse Opossum), 161 nucleotides. RefSeq lists it as uncharacterized. The transcript is spliced from 3 exons. NCBI's taxonomy places the organism in Eukaryota, Metazoa, Chordata, Mammalia, Didelphimorphia, Didelphidae. The record is from RefSeq and is a predicted model, not a curated record.